GGCCGUGUGGCUCAAUGGCAGAGCGUCUGACUACGAUUCAAGUACAUCAGGAGGUUGCAGGUUCGACCCCUGUCUCGGUCA
This is a transfer RNA of Escovopsis weberi, 81 nucleotides long. It matches the Rfam family "tRNA". From Rfam's summary of the family: Transfer RNA (tRNA) molecules are approximately 80 nucleotides in length. Their secondary structure includes four short double-helical elements and three loops (D, anti-codon, and T loops). Lineage: Eukaryota; Fungi; Ascomycota; Sordariomycetes; Hypocreales; Hypocreaceae. The record is from Rfam.